RNAcentral lists this ribosomal RNA (393 nucleotides) under uncultured bacterium. RNAcentral's name for it is "partial 16S ribosomal RNA". It matches the Rfam family "Bacterial small subunit ribosomal RNA", at positions 523 to 918 of the family's 1533-position model. The record is from RNAcentral.
AUACGGAGGAUGCGAGCGUUAUCCGGAUUUAUUGGGUUUAAAGGGAGCGUAGGUGGGAUAUUAAGUCAGCUGUGAAAGUUUGGGGCUCAACCUUAAAAUUGCAGUUGAUACUGGUUUCCUUGAGUACGGUACAGGUGGGCGGAAUUCGUGGUGUAGCGGUGAAAUGCUUAGAUAUCACGAAGAACUCCGAUCGCGAAGGCAGCUCACCGGGCCGGAACUGACACUGAUGCUCGAAAGUGCGGGUAUCAAACAGGAUUAGAUACCCUGGUAGUCCGCACAGUAAACGAUGAAUACUUGUUUUCGGCGAUAUAAUGUCGGAGGCAAAGCGAAAGCGAUAAGUAUUCCACCUGGGGAGUACGCCGGCAACGGUGAAACUCAAAGGAAUUGACGGGG